AACGCAUAUUGCGCCCUUUGGUAUUCCGAAGGGCAUGCCUGUUCGAGCGUCAUUAUCAACCAUCAAGCCUGGCUUGUCGUUGGACCCUUUUUACCGCUGAAAUAUGUGGUAGGUCCGAAAGAUAAUGACGGUGUCGUGUUUGACCCUAGAUGCAACGAGCUUUUUAUAGCAUGUAUUGAAGUGGUCGGCCGACCCGGUCUUUAACCAUCAUUUUCUAAGGUUGACCUCGGAUCAGGUAGGAAUACCCGCUGAACUUAA
Molecule: unclassified non-coding RNA, 258 nt
Filed under: uncultured fungus
Lineage: Eukaryota; Fungi
Description: sequence contains ITS2
Rfam family: 5.8S ribosomal RNA (bases 1-52)
Source: RNAcentral